This 74-nucleotide ribosomal RNA is filed under the name Clunio marinus. The record is from RNAcentral. Lineage: Eukaryota; Metazoa; Arthropoda; Insecta; Diptera; Chironomidae.
GCGAAGUUAAGCACGGUAUCGACUAGUUAGUACUGCGGUGGGGGACCACGCGGGAAUCCUGGUUGCUGCAGUUC